UUGAACGCUGGCGGCAUGCCUUACACAUGCAAGUCGAACGGCAGCACGGGUGCUUGCACCUGGUGGCGAGUGGCGAACGGGUGAGUAAUACAUCGGAACAUGUCCUAUAGUGGGGGAUAGCCCGGCGAAAGCCGGAUUAAUACCGCAUACGAUCUACGGAUGAAAGCGGGGGACCUUCGGGCCUCGCGCUAUAGGGUUGGCCGAUGGCUGAUUAGCUAGUUGGUGGGGUAAAGGCCUACCAAGGCGACGAUCAGUAGAUGGUCUGAGAGGACGACCAGCCACACUGGGACUGAGACACGGCCCAGACUCCUACGGGAGGCAGCAGUGGGGAAUUUUGGACAAUGGGCGAAAGCCUGAUCCAGCAAUGCCGCGUGUGUGAAGAAGGCCUUCGGGUUGUAAAGCACUUUUGUCCGGAAAGAAAUCCUUGGCUCUAAUACAGUCGGGGGAUGACGGUACCGGAAGAAUAAGCACCGGCUAACUACGUG
This 485-nucleotide ribosomal RNA is filed under the name uncultured bacterium. RNAcentral's name for it is "partial 16S ribosomal RNA". It matches the Rfam family "Bacterial small subunit ribosomal RNA", at positions 30 to 507 of the family's 1533-position model. The record is from RNAcentral.